GACGAACGCUGGCGGCGUGCCUAAUACAUGCAAGUAGAACGCUGAAGCUUGGUGCUUGCACCGAGCGGAUGAGUUGCGAACGGGUGAGUAACGCGUAGGUAACCUGCCUGGUAGCGGGGGAUAACUAUUGGAAACGAUAGCUAAUACCGCAUAAAAUGGAUUAUCGCAUGAUAAUUCAUUGAAAGGUGCAAAUGCAUCACUACCAGAUGGACCUGCGUUGUAUUAGCUAGUUGGUGGGGUAACGGCUCACCAAGGCGACGAUACAUAGCCGACCUGAGAGGGUGAUCGGCCACACUGGGACUGAGACACGGCCCAGACUCCUACGGGAGGCAGCAGUAGGGAAUCUUCGGCAAUGGACGGAAGUCUGACCGAGCAACGCCGCGUGAGUGAAGAAGGUUUUCGGAUCGUAAAGCUCUGUUGUAAGAGAAGAACGAGUGUGAGAGUGGAAAGUUUCACACUGUGAC
This 464-nucleotide ribosomal RNA is filed under the name Streptococcus sp. oral taxon 070. RNAcentral's name for it is "bacterial SSU rRNA". It matches the Rfam family "Bacterial small subunit ribosomal RNA", at positions 28 to 473 of the family's 1533-position model. The record is from RNAcentral. Lineage: Bacteria; Bacillati; Bacillota; Bacilli; Lactobacillales; Streptococcaceae.